ACUCUGACUCUCCCCCUCCUUCUGCCGCUCUAUCUCUCCUUCCCUCGCCCGCUCUCUCUCACACUUCAGUUUGCCACUGACACAUGAUUCUGGGCUGUUUUUGCUUUUUUUUUUAUCUCCCCCAGCCUCAUACCCCUUACUCACCCGCACCCACCCCCCAACCUCAUUUGAAUUCCAACUCACUUUUUAUUCCAAAUUUUGUUGUUCAUUAGACACACACUUUCAGCAUGCACACUCUCUACUCUACAUACACCAUGCCUGAUGAUAGCAAGGAAGGGAGGGAGAGCCGAAGCGAGGGAGAGAAUGAGCGAGUGAGAGGACGCCAUUUAAGCAGUUUGUUACGAGCACUGCCAGUCCCCAAAAUGGCUGAAAACAAACAGGAGCCAUGCCAACAGAAAAAAAGCUUGGCCAUAGAGACACGGAGGGAAAGAGAUAAAGAGUAGGAGCGGGGAGAAAGAGAGAGACGCCAGACAAUACUUGGGUAAAACUCUUUAGAUAAGUGAGGUAGCCAAAAGAGAGAUCAAAGAGAAGGGCAUGGACAUGAACUUUGGUUUCCAUUUUCUCCUCUCUCCACUUCCUUGACUAAAGAAGAGUACGUUUAUGGCAAGAAGCGUUGGAAUAGUGGGGUAAACAUUGACGUUUUUGGCCGAGGCAGCCUUCUAUGACAGAUUUGGCCUUCUCGCAGAGCAGAGAAAUAGCACCUCUGUACUUUUUGUCCUGCCCUUGUUUCCUGAAUCACUCCAUCUGGCAUUUGCUGGAUCGAUUGAUCCUAAUUACUCUCAAUCUAUAGCUACUGAAAAGUUCAGGAACCACUUGUUUCAAAAUGGCAUUGUGUGUGGAGAACUCUUUAAAACAGUCUGUCUUGACAUUCAGAAAAAAAUUUCCAGCCCAAACGACCUGCGGAGGGCAGGGCAACAGGAUAAGGAAAAUGAGAGUUCAUACUGAAUUUUUUUCUCGUUUCGCUCUUCCUCUUCUGUCUGCUUUUUUCAUGCCCAAAUUUCUGCCGAACAGCUCAUUAUAUACCCCCCAUCCUACGUUCCUUUCCCCUGUGCCCCUCGGUCCUUCUCUCUAUUUUUCCUUUCUCUUUCGCACUCCUUCUUUUUCUUUUCUAUUGUAUGCCAGCCCACUUGUCUCCAUGGGAACUCUGCUUGGAAAGGGUGUUGUUCUUAUGAUCUCUCCGACUUGUUGGAACUUUGUCACUUUUCUCACACUUCUAUGUGGUUCUUAUUGUGAGCUUGAUUACAGAACUUUCAGUUCACAUGCUCGUUUCUUUCUAUUUGGAGUUUGUCAAGUUCAGGUAACCCAUUCAGUAAGGUUUACCAAAAAGUGAUUCUACUUUUUCUUGAGCUGUUGGGGAAUUGAAACAAGGAUAUAAGAAACUCAAAAAUGCAAGAUAUUUCCCCACAGUCAUUAUUAAAAGCAUGGUGCUCAUGUUAAGCUAUGUAGACAAUAGAUGUUUUAUCACUAAGUGUGGAUAAGGAAGUUUAGUUGUUGAUAAGGAAGUUCGUAUGAAGUAUUUGAUUUAAGGUACCUUUGGGAUAAGAUCUUGGUUCAGUUUGAUAGCAACUGUUCAAGGAUCAUGCAUUAAGCAAAAGUACAUUGAUAUAUUUUAUAUUAUUUAAAUACUUUAACUAAAAAAACAACAACAAAUAGGCCAGACAGAGGUGGUCUUCACAAACCGUCCUCUUGUAUCACCCAUUAAACACUGUAAACACGCUUUGUCAUAUUCCAAAUGAUUAUAUUUGACGUUUGAUUGCCUAUAAUCUUUGUCUGCUGUGAAAAUAGGUGGCUGAAAUGUUCCCUGCUCAGUGUUGAUCAAAGGCUGUCUUUAACAUGACAUACGGAUCAGCAGACACUAAUGAGAGGGCAGUGGCCAGCUGAAUCUCCACAGUAACAAAAGAGGCUGGGACAUCUGGAGUCAGCCACACACAGACUCCUGGAACUCCCACAAACAGAGGAGCAGUCACGACGUGGAGACCAGGAGAUUCGACUUGGGAAAAGGAGGCAGCAUCAGAGAUAAUCCAAGGAGUUAUGGACAGUUUCAUCAGCUUGCUUAUGGAGCCUUGUGAUUACUAAACUGGAACAAAAGGCUUCCCUGAAGAACUCCUGAUCAAAGCACAGCCCAUUUUCUGCUUGACUGUGGCUUCCGCUUGGAAGAGGAAGAUCCAGACAGACUGAGGGAAGACGAGCUUUCAGUCUGUUUUGCGCUCAAAGCUUCCAUCUAGUGGUCAUGUCUCUCCUCUGAUAUGUAGUUUGACAAGUUUCUCAGCAUCUCUUGCAUUUACACACGACUGUAACCAGGGACGGACUGGGACUAAAAAACAGUCUGUAACACGAUCACAAUAUAACAUUUGAGCAUAUACAUCAUGAAAAACUGUACAGGAGAUAAUCCAAUAACACGUGGUAUUAAAGGUGUCGUGAAAUUUUGGGUAAUAUCUGGCAAGCCUGUGUUAUUAAUAAUUUAUUGUUUGGUAUCGAAGUGAGAUUAGUUUUGCUCUAAUUUAUUAUAUGAACCCACUGUUGUGUUGUUUAAUACAAACAUCUGGUUUAGAAAUAGUAUAUGAACCAUAUUUCUAAAUUGAUUUGCAACGUGUAAAAAUGGCAAAACGUCCUUUGAAUAAAAAGUUAUUUGUUAAUGGCUUGCCUCUUAGAAACCAGCCUUAACAAAGAUUUUUUUUGUCCCUGGUGUUAAAUUCCACAGAACCUUUAUAAAGUUUUAAAAUAAAUGCUAUAUAGUGAUUAGGAUUUACCGUUAUGUUAAAACGCACGGACAAUUUAAAAAAAAACAAAAAAAACUCAGGCUGUUGUGAAAGUGUUCCAAAGAGGGAAUCUAAAUUUUUCUUUUCUCUUCCACAAGGAGGUGCUGCAGCUCGGUUUGCGAUACAUAGAAGAAAACCUCUGUUCACUUAGAAUAAUAAGCAGUGUGUACAGUCAUGGCCAAAAGUUUUGGCAGUGACAUCAGUUUUGUAUUUUGCAUAAUUUGCUGCUUCUGUAGUUGUAUAUUAUUUUUUCAACAUGUUUCUAUGGUAUACUGAAACACAAUGAUAAGCAUACUUUUUAAAGGCUUUUAUUGGCAAUAAUAAUAAUAAUAAUAAUAAUAAUAUAUAAAUGAGUCAGUAUUUAGAGUGUUGACCCGGAUUGAGAUCCGGGGAUUAGCCUGGCCACAGAUCCAAAAUUACAAUGAAAUGAUCUUCGAGACAUGGUGCUUCAUCAUGCUGGAAAAAGCAUGGAUCACCAAAUUGCCCAUGGAUCAUUGAAAGUUGUCACUCUUGCAGGAUGUUUUGAUACCAUUCUUUAUUCAUGGCAGAAUUAUAAGAGGGUCCACUCCCUUGGUUUAAAAGCAAGUGUCUGUUAGCACAACA
This is a long non-coding RNA of Carassius gibelio (silver crucian carp), 3362 nucleotides long. RefSeq lists it as uncharacterized. The transcript has 3 exons. The record is from RefSeq and is a predicted model, not a curated record. NCBI's taxonomy places the organism in Eukaryota, Metazoa, Chordata, Actinopteri, Cypriniformes, Cyprinidae.